RNAcentral lists this ribosomal RNA (495 nucleotides) under uncultured bacterium. Its description in RNAcentral is "partial 16S ribosomal RNA". It matches the Rfam family "Bacterial small subunit ribosomal RNA", at positions 28 to 507 of the family's 1533-position model. The record is from RNAcentral.
GACGAACGCUGGCGGCGUGCCUAAUACAUGCAAGUAGAACGCUGAAGGAGGAGCUUGCUUCUCUGGAUGAGUUGCGAACGGGUGAGUAACGCGUAGGUAACCUGCCUGGUAGCGGGGGAUAACUAUUGGAAACGAUAGCUAGUACCGCAUAAUAGCAGUUGUUGCAUGACAACUGUUUGAAAGGUGCAAUUGCCCCACUACCAGAUGGACCUGCGUUGUAUUAGCUAGUUGGUGGGGUAACGGCUCACCAAGGCGACGAUACAUAGCCGACCUGAGAGGGUGGUAGGGCAAAAUGGGAAUGGAAAAAGGGCCAAGAUCCUAAGGGAGGGAGCAGUAGGGAAUCUUCGGCAAUGGACGGAAGUCUGACCGAGCAACGCCGCGUGAGUGAAGAAGGUUUUCGGAUCGUAAAGCUCUGUUGUAAGAGAAGAACGAGUGUGAGAGUGGAAAGUUCACACUGUGACGGUAUCUUACCAGAAAGGGACGGCUAACUACGUG